UGACGAGUCCAACAAUAGGACGAAACGGCCGUC
Molecule: non-coding RNA, 33 nt
Filed under: Schistosoma mansoni
Lineage: Eukaryota; Metazoa; Platyhelminthes; Trematoda; Strigeidida; Schistosomatidae
Source: RNAcentral